CCCUCCGCUUUUCUUGGCUUUUGCCGUGCUUCCUCAUAUGUGUGCAGUGAAUUUCCGAUUCUACCCAUCCAGCCCACGCGUCCUGCAGCCUUUCUUUCUCUCCUUCGAUUCAUCUGUUUCACUUUACCUUUUGGCUCUCCAUUUUCUAGUUUCCUCAUCUAGGUUUUCCUCCGCCUUCAUCGUUGUGCGCCCUGUUUUCUAUCAAUUUCUUCCUCUUGGUUUCACAAAAUUACCUCCGGGCAGACACGUUCUUUGAUUUUUGGAAUAGUUGUUGGCUGUUCUUCUCUGUUUUUGGGUGCGAACCGUAUCGAUUUCGUCUUUUUCGCCUUUUUGUUAACUGAUUUUCGCUCAAUUUUGGGUGAUCUUUGUAUUCAAGUGAUCGUCAGACAAAUCGUAUUCAGUUUGGUUGAAAGAUUUGACGGCUAAGUUACUAAUAAAGCAAAGACUGAGCCAUGGUGAGACACAAGCUUUCGUUACACCCUGCAAACUGGUGAAAAUAUUGGUCUCCAGAUUUUGGGGGUUUUGUGAACAGCGAUGCAAGCCCUUUCGAAUAAAGUUGUUUGAUACUGGAGUGUUUCAUGAUGAUCCUUAUCGUUUCCCGAUUUCAUGAUGCUGCAUAUCAACUUGAUGAGGACUAUAGUGAGAAUGGUGAUACUUAAGGAUAUUUUAUCUAUAUUAUAGUAAUCAAGAAAUGAAAACAUAGAUAUUUUUGUAUUUUGUAACUACACCGAAUUGUGAACCUUACAUUAGUUUAUAUUACAUGAAUUUUGUGU
This is a long non-coding RNA of Malus domestica (apple), 773 nucleotides long. RefSeq lists it as uncharacterized. Lineage: Eukaryota; Viridiplantae; Streptophyta; Magnoliopsida; Rosales; Rosaceae. The record is from RefSeq and is a predicted model, not a curated record.